CCUACGGGUGGCUGCAGUGGGGAAUAUUGCACAAUGGAGGGAACUCUGAUGCAGCGACGCCGCGUGAGCGAUGAAGGUCUUCGGAUCGUAAAGCUCUGUCCUAAGGGACGAUAAUGACGGUACCUUAGGAGGAAGCUCCGGCUAACUACGUGCCAGCAGCCGCGGUAAUACGUAGGGAGCAAGCGUUGUCCGGAUUUAUUGGGCGUAAAGGGUGCGUAGGCGGCCUGAUAAGUCAGAUGUGAAAGGCGGAGGCUCAACCUCCGUUAGCAUCUGAAACUGUCAGGCUUGAGUGAAGGAGAGGAAAGUGGAAUUCCUAGUGUAGCGGUGAAAUGCGUAGAUAUUAGGAGGAAUACCGGUGGCGAAGGCGACUUUCUGGACUUAAACUGACGCUGAGGCACGAAAGUGUGGGGAGCAAACAGGAUUAGAUACCCUUGUAGUC
This 439-nucleotide ribosomal RNA is filed under the name uncultured Tissierellaceae bacterium. RNAcentral's name for it is "bacterial SSU rRNA". It matches the Rfam family "Bacterial small subunit ribosomal RNA", at positions 338 to 795 of the family's 1533-position model. The record is from RNAcentral. Lineage: Bacteria; Bacillati; Bacillota; Tissierellia; Tissierellales; Tissierellaceae.